CGAGUGGGCCGGGUGGUCGCGUGGCGCACACUCCUGUUCGCCAUGAGGAAAGUCCGGACUCCACAGAGCACGAUGCUGGGCAACACCCAGGCGAGGCGACUCGACGGCAAGUGCAACAGAGAGCAGGUCGCCGCCACGGUCCUGUGCCCCGCCGUAGGGGGGUACUUGUGCCGCGCGGUAAGAGUGAAACGGUGGUGUAAGAGACCACCGGCGGUCCAGGUGACUGGGCCGGCCAGGCAAACCCCAUCGGGAGCAAGACCAAGCAAGAGGUAGAUGACGUGCGGUUUCGACCCACGUCCUCGCGGGUUGCUCGCCCGUCUCCUCGGGUAGGUCGCCUGAGACACCGAGCAAUCGGUGCCCUAGAUAGAUGGCCACCACCUCGCCACGGCGAGGGACAGAAUUCGGCUUACAGGCCCACUCAUCCC
RNAcentral lists this RNase P RNA (425 nucleotides) under Anaerolineales bacterium. RNAcentral describes it as "RNase P RNA component class A". It matches the Rfam family "Bacterial RNase P class A". From Rfam's summary of the family: Ribonuclease P (RNase P) is a ubiquitous endoribonuclease, found in archaea, bacteria and eukarya as well as chloroplasts and mitochondria. Its best characterised activity is the generation of mature 5'-ends of tRNAs by cleaving the 5'-leader elements of precursor-tRNAs. The record is from RNAcentral. Lineage: Bacteria; Bacillati; Chloroflexota; Anaerolineae; Anaerolineales.